This 397-nucleotide ribosomal RNA is filed under the name uncultured bacterium. RNAcentral describes it as "partial 16S ribosomal RNA". It matches the Rfam family "Bacterial small subunit ribosomal RNA", at positions 360 to 774 of the family's 1533-position model. The record is from RNAcentral.
AAUUUUCCGCAAUGGGCGCAAGCCUGACGGAGCAACGCCGCGUGAGGGAUGAAGGUCUUCGGAUCGUAAACCUUUUUCAUCGAGGAAGAUAAUUACGGUACUCGAGGUGGAAGCCCCUGCUAACUACGUGCCAGCAGCCGCGGUAACACGUAGGGGGCAAGCGUUGUCCGGAAUUAUUGGGCGUAAAGGGCGCGCAGGCGGUUUUUUAAGUCUGAUGUGAAAUCUCGCAGCUUAACUGCGAGCGGUCAUUGGAAACUGGAAAGCUUGAGUACAGAAGAGGAGGGUGGAAUUCCACGUGUAGCGGUGAAAUGCGUAGAGAUGUGGAGGAACACCAGUGGCGAAGGCGACUCACUGGUCUGUAACUGACGCUGAGGCGCGAAAGCGUGGGUAGCGAACA